This is a non-coding RNA of Podarcis lilfordi (Lilford's wall lizard), 81 nucleotides long. NCBI's taxonomy places the organism in Eukaryota, Metazoa, Chordata, Lepidosauria, Squamata, Lacertidae. The record is from the annotation of a GenBank genome assembly.
GGUCCCCAGAUGUUGUUGGACUACAACUCCCAUCAUCCCUAGCUAUGGGAGUUGUAGUCCAACAACAUCUGGGGACUCACA